UACGUAGGGGGCGAGCGUUAUCCGGAUUCAUUGGGCGUAAAGCGCGCGCACCAGGCGGGAUCUCGAAACCGGGGGCUCAACCUCCGGGCGGAUCCCGAACCGGUGUGCUCGAGUGCGGUAGAGGAAGUCGGAAUUCCCGGUGUAGCGGUGAAAUGCGCAGAUAUCGGGAAGAACACCGAUGGCGAAGGCAGACUUCUGGGCCGACACUGACGCUCAGGCGCGAAAGCUGGGGGAGCGAACAGG
Molecule: ribosomal RNA, 243 nt
Filed under: uncultured Coriobacteriaceae bacterium
Lineage: Bacteria; Bacillati; Actinomycetota; Coriobacteriia; Coriobacteriales; Coriobacteriaceae
Description: partial 16S ribosomal RNA
Rfam family: Bacterial small subunit ribosomal RNA
Source: RNAcentral